Transfer RNA from Camelus ferus (Wild Bactrian camel), 72 nucleotides. It matches the Rfam family "tRNA". Rfam says of the family: Transfer RNA (tRNA) molecules are approximately 80 nucleotides in length. Their secondary structure includes four short double-helical elements and three loops (D, anti-codon, and T loops). The record is from Rfam. NCBI's taxonomy places the organism in Eukaryota, Metazoa, Chordata, Mammalia, Artiodactyla, Camelidae.
GUAUAUAUAGCUCAGUGGCAGAGCGCAUGCUUAGCAAGCAUGAGGUUCUGGCUUCAAUCCCCAGUACCUCCA